RNAcentral lists this ribosomal RNA (292 nucleotides) under uncultured bacterium. RNAcentral describes it as "partial 16S ribosomal RNA". The record is from RNAcentral.
GGACUACACGGGUAUCUAAUCCCGUUCGCUCCCCAUGCUGUCGUGUCUGAGCGUCAGGGGCGAGCCAGGAGGCCGCCUUCGCCUCUGGGGUUCCUCCGGAUCUCUACGCAUUUCACCACUACACCCGGAAUUCCGCCUCCCUCUCUCGCCCUCUAGGUUGUCAGUCUGGCAUAACCCUUCCCGGUUGAGCCGGGAUAUUUCAUACACCACUUGACAACCCGCCUGCACACCCUUUACGCCCAGUAAAUCCGGAUAACGCUUGCCACCUACGUUUUACCGCGGCUGCUGGCAC